AAGUGGGAUGACGUCAAGUCCUCAUGGCCCUUAUGGGUAGGGCUUCACACGUCAUACAAUGGUCGGUACAGAGGGUUGCCAAGCCGCGAGGCGGAGCCAAUCCCACAAAGCCGAUCGUAGUCCGGAUUGUUCUCUGCAACUCGAGAGCAUGAAGUCGGAAUCGCUAGUAAUCGCAGGUCAGCAUACUGCGGUGAAUACGCUCCCGGGUCUU
RNAcentral lists this ribosomal RNA (211 nucleotides) under uncultured Thiobacillus sp. RNAcentral's name for it is "partial 16S ribosomal RNA". It matches the Rfam family "Bacterial small subunit ribosomal RNA", at positions 1171 to 1382 of the family's 1533-position model. Lineage: Bacteria; Pseudomonadati; Pseudomonadota; Betaproteobacteria; Nitrosomonadales; Thiobacillaceae. The record is from RNAcentral.